RNAcentral lists this ribosomal RNA (1283 nucleotides) under metagenome. Its description in RNAcentral is "bacterial SSU rRNA". It matches the Rfam family "Bacterial small subunit ribosomal RNA", at positions 246 to 1520 of the family's 1533-position model. The record is from RNAcentral.
UUGUUGGUGAGGUAAAAGCUCACCAAGGCGACGAUCUGUAGCGGGUCUGAGAGGAUGAUCCGCCACACUGGAACUGAGACACGGUCCAGACUCCUACGGGAGGCAGCAGUGGGGAAUUUUGGACAAUGGGGGCAACCCUGAUCCAGCCAUGCCGCGUGAGUGAAGAAGGCCUUCGGGUUGUAAAGCUCUUUCAGCCGGGAAGAAAACGCAUGGGUUAAUACCCUGUGUGGAUGACGGUACCGGAAUAAGAAGCACCGGCUAACUACGUGCCAGCAGCCGCGGUAAUACGUAGGGUGCGAGCGUUAAUCGGAAUUACUGGGCGUAAAGCGUGCGCAGGCGGUUUUGUAAGACAGGCGUGAAAUCCCCGGGCUUAACCUGGGAACUGCGUUUGUGACUGCAAGGCUAGAGUACGGCAGAGGGGGGUGGAAUUCCACGUGUAGCAGUGAAAUGCGUAGAGAUGUGGAGGAACACCAAUGGCGAAGGCAGCCCCCUGGGUCGAUACUGACGCUCAUGCACGAAAGCGUGGGUAGCAAACAGGAUUAGAUACCCUGGUAGUCCACGCCCUAAACGAUGUCAACUAGGUGUUGGGAGGGUAAAACCUUUUAGUACCGGAGCUAACGCGUGAAGUUGACCGCCUGGGGAGUACGGCCGCAAGGUUAAAACUCAAAGGAAUUGACGGGGACCCGCACAAGCGGUGGAUGAUGUGGAUUAAUUCGAUGCAACGCGAAAAACCUUACCUACCCUUGACAUGCCAAGAACUUUCCAGAGGUGGAUUGGUGCCCGAAAGGGAACUUGGACACAGGUGCUGCAUGGCUGUCGUCAGCUCGUGUCGUGAGAUGUUGGGUUAAGUCCCGCAACGAGCGCAACCCUUGUCGUUAAUUGCCAUCAUUUAGUUGGGCACUUUAACGAGACUGCCGGUGACAAACCGGAGGAAGGUGGGGAUGACGUCAAGUCCUCAUGGCCCUUAUGGGUAGGGCUUCACACGUCAUACAAUGGUCGGUACAAAGGGUCGCCAAGCCGCGAGGUGGAGCCAAUCCCAGAAAGCCGAUCGUAGUCCGGAUCGCAGUCUGCAACUCGACUGCGUGAAGUCGGAAUCGCUAGUAAUCGUGGAUCAGAAUGUCACGGUGAAUACGUUCCCGGGUCUUGUACACACCGCCCGUCACACCAUGGGAGCGGGUUCCGCCAGAAGUAGGUAGCCUAACCGCAAGGAGGGCGCUUACCACGGCGGGGUUCGUGACUGGGGUGAAGUCGGAACAAGGUAGCCGUAGGGGAACCUGCGGCUG